CAUGGGCCGGCAAGGGUCGCUAGGGCUUUUUUGAGGUUCACCGGCGGCGAGAAAUUGGGGCGGAGGGGGAGGGGAUUGUGGCGGAGGCGGAUAGGGUUUGACCCAUAUCCGAGCGAUGAAACCGCAUAAAUAGCGGUGGAGAGGGUCUUUUUCCGGGCCACGGCAAACUUUUUACAAGCUGGGCUCAGGGUACGGAGUAUCUUUUUGGCAAGAAAAACGGGCCGAACUUGUAUACUCGCCAGAAUUAUACGGGUUUAGCCCUUUUACGGGGUCUGCUAGAGAUACUCUUACUCAGGGUGUAUUUGAUGCCACAGGAAAAGCAAGGAAUUGUAAAAGGCGGUUGGAGUGGUUGUUAGAUUUUCUAUGAAAUGUUGGAAAAAUUUCUAAGGAUUUAAAUCCUCCAAAAAUCCUAUAUUCCUUUGAAUCAAAGGAGCCCUAAGUUCCCUAAGUUUUUCAAGCAGAAAUGUAAAGUCUCUCAUCACAACGGCCACACACGCACGGGCGCAGAGGAUCCUUGGCCACCAAUUGCACAUACACAUUUCUUGUACUAGUGCUAUACAUGUAGCAGCAGCAGUGAGUGCCAAACUCAACGCAGCACGACCAGAGACCCAACUGAUAAAUACAAGAUGUUGCUUCUGUCUUGCUGUCUGUUUGCUUGUGUUAAUAGCAAGCGCCGGUGGCAACAUCCCUGUCAGUUAUAGCACCAGCAUGGUCCAGCCACCAGGACAGAUACACACACACACAUACAUACAUACACACGCUUCUUCAGGUCGCCACCUUGGCCUUCAAGCAGAUCUCAUCUGGCCGGCGGUGACGUCUAGGCUGCCGGCCGCCGUCGCGGUCUGGUCCACCGCCGGCGACGACCAGCCGCCCCGGCCGGCCGGUAUAAAUAAUGUCAGGGAAGGGGAAGAUGAUGCCAUGGGAAUCUCGAAAGCGUAUGUGCUCAACGCACAAGCUGAUGGAGUUGUUGGUCACACGCAUGGCAUGAGAUGGAUGCAGUGGUGGUGAUGAAACCGUGACCUCACACACAUUGCCGACCAGUGGAAGGGAAGCUCAUUGGCAAGCACAACCUCAAAAGUGUUAUUGCUCUUAAUUAGGGCACAAGUUGAUUAACUGAGACCUUAUUCUUUGCUUAGAAAUCUUCCAAUGUACACACUGCGGUGCGGCGGGCUGCCUCGCGAAGCAACCCGCCGCAAGCCGCGUUUUUUCUGCGGAAGUUGCAGCCCAAACAAA
Long non-coding RNA from Triticum urartu, 1233 nucleotides. RefSeq lists it as uncharacterized. NCBI's taxonomy places the organism in Eukaryota, Viridiplantae, Streptophyta, Magnoliopsida, Poales, Poaceae. The record is from RefSeq and is a predicted model, not a curated record.